This 270-nucleotide ribosomal RNA is filed under the name uncultured archaeon. Its description in RNAcentral is "partial 16S ribosomal RNA". It matches the Rfam family "Archaeal small subunit ribosomal RNA", at positions 477 to 747 of the family's 1478-position model. The record is from RNAcentral.
CGGCACCUCAAGUGGUCAGGAUGAUUAUUGGGCCUAAAGCAUCCGUAGCCGGCGCUGUAAGUUUUCGGUUAAAUCUGUAUGCUCAACAUACAGGCUGCCGGGAAUACUGCAGCGCUAGGGAGUGGGAGAGGUAGACGGUACUCGGUAGGAAGGGGUAAAAUCCUUUGAUCUAUUGAUGACCACCUGUGGCGAAGGCGGUCUACCAGAACACGUCCGACGGUGAGGGAUGAAAGCUGGGGGAGCAAACCGGAUUAGAUACCCGAGUAGUCC